This 253-nucleotide ribosomal RNA is filed under the name uncultured bacterium. RNAcentral describes it as "partial 16S ribosomal RNA". It matches the Rfam family "Bacterial small subunit ribosomal RNA", at positions 524 to 776 of the family's 1533-position model. The record is from RNAcentral.
UACGUAGGGUGCGAGCGUUAAUCGGAAUUACUGGGCGUAAAGCGUGCGCAGGCGGUUUUGUAAGUUAGAGGUGAAAGCCCGGAGCUCAACUCCGGAAUUGCCUUUAAAACUGCAUCGCUAGAAUUGUGGAGAGGUGAGUGGAAUUCCGAGUGUAGAGGUGAAAUUCGUAGAUAUUCGGAAGAACACCAGUGGCGAAGGCGACUCACUGGACACAUAUUGACGCUGAGGUGCGAAAGCGUGGGGAGCAAACAGG